AUGAACGCUGGCGGCGUGCCUUAGGCAUGCAAGUCGAACGACCCCGAAUUCUCGGGGGAGUGGCGGACGGGUGAGUAAUGCAUAGGAAUCUACCCCUUGGUGUGGAAUAACCUCGAGAAAUCGAGGCUAAUACCGCAUGACCCCGAGUUUUCGGGGAAAGGCCGUAACUGGUCGCCGAGGGAGGAGCCUAUGUCCUAUCAGCUUGUUGGUAGGGUAAUGGCCUACCAGGGCGAUAACGGGUAGGGGGUGUGAGAGCAUGGCCCCCCACAAGGUCACUGAAACACGGGGCCUACACCUACGGGUGGCAGCAACCGGGAAUAUUGCGCAAUGGGCGAAAGCCUGACGCAGCGACGCCGCGUGCGGGAUGAAGGUCUUCGGACUGUAAACCGCUGUGGAGAGGGAAGAUAAUGACAGUACCUCUCUAGAAAGCACCUGCUAACUACGUGCCAGAAGCCUCGGUGAUACGUAGGGUGCAAGCGUUAUCCGGAUUUAUUGGGCGUAAAGAGUAUCGUAGGCGGUACAGUAAGUGAUUGGUGAAAUCCUCCGGCUCAACCAGAGAAUUGCCAGUCAUACUGCUGAACUAGAGUAAUUUAGGGAAGGCUGGAAUUCUCGGUGUAGGGGUGAAAUCCGUUGAUAUCGAGAAGAACACCAAGGGCGAAGGCAGGCCUUUAGGAAUUUACUGACGCUGAUGAACGAAAGCUUGGGAAGCAAAAAGGAUUAGAGACCCUUGUAGUCCAAGCCGUAAACGAUGCCCACUAGAUGGUUUUAAUUUAUUAGAACUGUCGUAAGCUAACGCGUUAAGUGGGCCGCCUGGGGAGUACGGCCGCAAGGCUAAAACUCAAAGGAAUUGACGGGGAAACGCACAACCAGGGGAGCAUGUGGUUUAAUUCGAUACAAAGCGAAGAACCUUACCUGGGCUUGACAUGUUUGUGAUCGCUUUAAGAAAUUAGAGUUUUCCGCAAGGACACAUACACAGCUGCUGCAUGGCUGUCGUCAGCUCGUACCGUGAGGCGUCGGCUUAAGUGCCGCAACGAGCGCAACCCCCAUCUUAUGUUAUAUUUCGUAAGAGACCGCCUCGCUCAAAGCGGGGAGGAAGGAGGGGAUGACGUCAAGUCAGCACGGCGCUUAUGUCCAGGGCAACACACAUCCUACAAUGGUGGGGGACAACGGGUUGCGAACCGGCAACGGGGAGCUAGUCCUUCAAACCCCCCCUCAGUUCAGAUUGUGGGCUGAAAUUCGCCCACAUGAAGUUGGACUUGGUAGUAAUCGCGGGUCAGCAGACCGCGGUGAAUACGUUCUCGUUUCUUGUACACACCGCCCGUCACAUGAAGAAAGUCGGCAGUGCCCGAAGGUCCCUCGAUUUAUCGAGGGGACUAAGGUGAGGUCGGCGAUCAGCGUGAAGUCGUAACAAGGUA
This 1415-nucleotide ribosomal RNA is filed under the name uncultured bacterium. RNAcentral describes it as "bacterial SSU rRNA". It matches the Rfam family "Bacterial small subunit ribosomal RNA". The record is from RNAcentral.